Molecule: non-coding RNA, 959 nt
Filed under: Gobio cynocephalus (Siberian gudgeon)
Lineage: Eukaryota; Metazoa; Chordata; Actinopteri; Cypriniformes; Gobionidae
Description: 12S ribosomal RNA
Rfam family: Bacterial small subunit ribosomal RNA
Source: RNAcentral
CAAAGGCAUGGUCCUGACCUUAUUAUCAGCUUUAGCCCAACUUACACAUGCAAGUCUCCGCAGUCCCGUGAAUAUGCCCUCAAUCCCCUGCCCGGGGACGAGGAGCGGGCAUCAGGCACAAACUUUAGCCCAAGACGCCUAGCCAAGCCACACCCCCAAGGGAAUUCAGCAGUGAUAGACAUUAAGCCAUAAGUGAAAACUUGACUCAGUCAGGGUUAAUGAGGGCCGGUAAAACUCGUGCCAGCCACCGCGGUUAAACGAGAGGCCCUAGUUGAUAUUAUCACGGCGUAAAGGGUGGUUAAGGAAUGCAUAAUAAUAAAGCCAAAUGGCCCUUUGGCCGUCAUACGCUUCUAGGUGUCCGAAGCCCACUCAUACGAAAGUAGCUUUAAUAAAAUCCACCUGACCCCACGAAAGCUAAGAAACAAACUGGGAUUAGAUACCCCACUAUGCUCAGCUAUAAACCUAGACGUCCACAUACAAUUAGACGUCCGCCCGGGUACUACGAGCAUCAGCUUGAAACCCAAAGGACCUGACGGUGCCUUAGACCCCCCUAGAGGAGCCUGUUCUAGAACCGAUAACCCCCGUUAAACCUCACCACUUCUAGCCACCCCAGCCUAUAUACCGCCGUCGCCAGCUUACCCUGUGAAGGCAAUAAAAGUAAGCAAAAUGGGCACAACCCAGAACGUCAGGUCGAGGUGUAGCGUACGAAGUGGGAAGAAAUGGGCUACAUUUUCUAUCAUAGAACACUACGGACAUGCAACAUGAAAUAGUGCUUGAAGGAGGAUUUAGUAGUAAAAAGGAAGCAGAGUGUCCUUUUGAACCCGGCUCUAAGGCGCGUACACACCGCCCGUCACUCUCCCCUGUCAAUACGCAGUAAAGAUUCAUAACACCAAAGCACUGACAAGGGGAGGCAAGUCGUAACAUGGUAAGUGUACCGGAAGGUGCACUUGGAUUAAACC